CACCUCUGUUCUGGUCUUCUGGUCCACUCUGACCUGGUGCCCUGAUUCCUCCUGUCCUGACCUUGGGAAUUAUCAUCUAAUAUGGAAACAGAUUCAUCUCUUGCUUACUGCAUUUUACAUAAUGCUUUUGAUUGUCAUAUUCAUGUGUAACUGAGUGUUGUCUUGCAGUUGUUCAUGUCUUUGGCCAGGUCGCCAUCUGAAACGAGAUUCACUUCUCAAUUCCCGUGCCAGUUUAAAUAAAAGUUAAGCAGUAAAAUAAAAGACAAUUAAUACACAUGACAUAAUACACAAUUCUAUCGGGACCCAUUUUGUCUCAACAGUGCCACUUUUACAAACGGGAAUGGACAUUCAACUAGCUAUACCCUGCACUACAUGUUAACUUUUCCCCUCUUCUCGGGACCUUGACCAAGUGAGCUGACACCAUAUCAAUCUUAUUUGAGACCAAACCUAACCAUAUUAUAACAUCUACACAAAACCUAAACCCUAACCCUAAUACAACAUCUACUCAACACCUAAAUCCUAACCAUAUUAUAACAAACACAAAACCUAACCCUAACCGUAUUAUAACAUCUACUCAAAACCUAACCCUUAAGUCAAACAUCCUUUUACUUCACAUCAAUUGAUUAAAGAUAAGGUUUUACGGUUGUCAGUCCCCACCAGGAUAGUAAAACAUGAACACACAGCCAUGCACUCCACCAGAUAUCAGACAUUCCACAUGGUGACAAAACGAGACACACACAUGCAAAUACUCGCAAAAACACUAAUGGAACUGUUCACAGUGCUGUUUCUUACCGGAGCCUGUCCUCUGAGUUCAUUUGGAGGGAAACAGCUGAAAAAUAUCACAUAUCACACCAGCCUGUCUGACUUUUUCUCUCUCUUCUUUAAAUGUCAGUCUGCUACUCACGGCCAGUAUUAGGUUGGAAAUUUUGUCUUACUAACUCUCUUUCUUUUUCUCUUUCUCUCUCUACUGUUUCACUCUCUUCCUGUCUCUCUAUCUCAUUCUGUCUCU
Long non-coding RNA from Esox lucius (northern pike), 1009 nucleotides. Lineage: Eukaryota; Metazoa; Chordata; Actinopteri; Esociformes; Esocidae. The record is from Ensembl.